This 270-nucleotide ribosomal RNA is filed under the name uncultured bacterium. RNAcentral's name for it is "partial 16S ribosomal RNA". It matches the Rfam family "Bacterial small subunit ribosomal RNA", at positions 793 to 1055 of the family's 1533-position model. The record is from RNAcentral.
GUCCACGCCGUAAACGAUGAAUACUAGGUGUGGGGGUUGUCAUGACCUCCGUGCCGCCGCUAACGCAUUAAGUAUUCCGCCUGGGGGAGUACGGUCGCAAGAUUAAAACUCAAAGGAAUUGACGGGGGCCCGCACAAGCAGCGGAGCAUGUGGUUUUAAUUCGAAGCAACGCGAAGAACCUUACCUAGACUUGACAUCUCCUGAAUUACCCGUAACUGGGGAAGUCUUCUCUUUGAGAAGACAGGAAGACAGGUGGUGCAUGGUUGUCGU